RNAcentral lists this long non-coding RNA (4299 nucleotides) under Zea mays. Its description in RNAcentral is "long non-coding RNA (ZMAY_LNC001335)". Lineage: Eukaryota; Viridiplantae; Streptophyta; Magnoliopsida; Poales; Poaceae. The record is from RNAcentral.
GUUCGCACCUCCUUUGUGCCGCCGCCGCCGCCGCCGCCGAAGAGCGAGUGUCCCGCCGACUUUGCGCUGCGCACCACGGGGCGCCGGGAGCGUGCUUCACUAGACGCCAGGUACUGAACUUUCGAAUCCUCUCCUCUGGCCUCUGCAAUCUGCAUUUUUGGUGAAACCCAGACCACCAGUGCCACCAGUGUAUCACAAACAUCACGGAAAAGUAUUCAAUCACGCCUUCUCGGUCAAGAAAGGGAAAUAUUUUGUCGGCUACAAGCUUAAGACUACUGUAUGAGUAUGAACAUGGCGAAUUUACAAGGUAGAUAUUGAGCUCUUUUUUACAAACACGCGCGUAGACAUUUACUGCAGUUACAUUAUCUGCAGAAAAUUCAUGACUUCAGAGAGCUUAUUUGCCACUAGUACCCAUGCGACCUUGAGAAUGCAGUGCCAAUUAGAGAAGGGAAUAUGCUGCAAACAUAUUAUGAGAACUUAAAGAAUUAGUUACCAGCUAACAUUGGGAGGGUACAACGUGAGACAUAAGCAUAGAUGUGUAACACGUACCAGUUUAUUAGCAAGGCGAUAGAGAAUGUUUAUAAUCCUUCAGUAGCAGGGAUGCGGCCUGCAUUAGCGAACAAAAUUGCUGCUCUUAUUGCUUGUGCAUGAGACCUAAUCUUCCUCUAUGCAAAAGAGAAAAUUACAAAUUAAUUUGUCAUAAGGAAUGCAAAGAAAUACGAAAGAAGGCAGCUAAUAAUGAUGUAUGGCUGUUUUCAAAGUCUGAGCUAGUAUAUUUACUUUUAUCGGAUACUUAUAAUCUACUAUCAACGUGGGCUUGCCAGGAUUCAUGUCCAGGGAUUUCUGAAAUUCAUCUUUUACGGCCUCCACCUCCUCGGGCAUGAUACUGUACAUUGUUUUAACAGAGACAUGCUCCAGUGACAUGAGGUGCUCCAAACCAAAGUUACAAUCACCAUACUUAUGCAUUACCUCUUUCACCCCGAACACUAAAUGAAGUUCUUUGAGGUUUUGCAUACUUCCUGGUGCGAACACCACCGCCAUGGAUUCAUAAUCGAUUUGCAUCUCAGUUAGGCACCGGAAUGGAUAACACUUGCCAAUGACCAAUCUUUCAUCUCUGGUUUCCUUCACAUGUAUACUGAGACAACGUAGAGAUGGUAUGCUCCCAAGGACAUGAAAAUCCUGUGCUCCCAGAGCUAAUAGUUCAAUGUUUAUGCUAGACAAGAAGCAGAGCGAUGACAUCCAUCUUGGCACUGCAGUCGACUCAAUAUCAAUGGAGCAAAGAUGUUGAGGACCAGGGUACAAUUUGUCACAUUCGGAACAUAGGCUGCUCACCAUGGUACCUUUUAUUUCCAUGGAUUUGAGGCUGACAAGGUUAGAUAGACAUUGGAUGAAAGGUUCCUCAUAGCUCUCAUCCCAAUCACAAAAGUCGAUGGCCAAGGUCCGGAGAUUGGUCAGACACCCCAGAUUAUGCAGCAUGCUUGGUAACUUGAUAGUUAUGAUCCCUUUAACUUCUUGUAGAGAGGUUAGUUUUCCGAAUCCAUCUGGCAGUCUUAUGCCCCACAUCGGCCUAAAACAAAGACGCAGUAGCUGUCGCAAGUGAAUAAUGGUUGGCAUCUUUACUUUGUGCCCAAGAUUACUUAUGUCAAGUACUUGCAAAAAUUGUAGAUUCUGAAUCUCCCGUGGCAUCUCAGUAAUAAAUUCCGCAUUGAGACUCAAAUAUCUCAGGUGAAACAUAUUGCAAAUAUCUUUAAAGUGGUGAUUCCUCACUCCCUUACAUUUCUUUAAAUUCAAUACACGUAAGACCAGAAAGGCCGAAAGUUUUGGCAUCAACUGGAACACUUUAGUGGACACAGUAAGUGAUCUUACGUGGGAGAAACUCAUUGUAGCCAGCUGCUUGACUUCCUCUUCCUGGCUAAUUUGGAGGGAUAACCGGUGGAUCUUUUUAGGCAGAUCAAGAGAUAUGGGCUGUUGCUCACCUACUUUUGUUAGAAAAUGCUCCUCAUUUGACAAGAAACUGAUAAGAUCAAGGACCAUAUCAUGUAUCCGACAAGAAACAGUCUUACCAUCACGGCCAAUAUCUACAGGUUCCAACAUACUUCUGUUAAUUAACUCUUCGAUGUAAUCCUCACCUACUUCAUAUAAGGUCUUCCCCUGUUCUUCAUGGACAAAACCUUCACCAAUCCAUUUCCAUAUGAGACCUCUUGUUUUAAUUCUGUAGUCUUCUGGAAACAAACUUAGGUAUAGCAAGCAAGUCUUUAGAUGUGAAGGUAGGUCAUAAUAACUAACUGAUAGUAUCCUUCUCAUAUUCUUCACAUUAGUACUGCCAUUUAGACCAGAACCCAUGGAUUGGUACACAUGUGACCAAUAGUUAUGUGUAUUUAUUUCCUUUCCAGUUUUAUCGGCUAGCAUACUUGCCAUGGUAAUGAUAGCUAAUGGUACACCACCACAUUUCUGUAAGAUUUUACCAGCCACUUCAGCUAAAUUAUGUGGAGGACAUUUGUCUUCACUGCCAAAAAUUCUUUGGCAGAAUAACUUUGUUGAGUCACUGAGAGAAAGAGGUUCCAUUUGAUAAACACUUCCAGCUUGUUUUGCAACAUCAAUAUUACGAGUUGUGAUAAUUAUUAUACUUCCACAUUCAUUGUGCAUCAAAGAACAUUGGAUUGUUUCCCACACAGAAGUAUUCCAUAUGUCAUCAAUGACAAUGAAGUACCUAUAUAUAUAACACCAAGAGACAAGUAUAUAUCAGCAAAACUCUACCACUUGUUUUCUUUCUGUGGCUAUUAAAGUCAAAUAAUGCAGCUAACAAAACGAAAACUAUAAUUGGCUUUUAGACAACACAGCUGCCUAGGCACCAGAUCUGCGCAUAGGGGGAGAUAAUUGCCCUGUGGUAACCACCAAUAGCUGCAGACUGAGUAGUGAGUAGCAAAUGAUUGCAAAUGAAGAGGGAAAUUAAAGGAGGGCCCAUCCUUGCUUUCCUUUCAGCAGCGAUGAGGAGGCGAUGGCCACAUACAUACCUCUUGUGCAGAAGGAACUUCCUCAGUUCCCAGAUUAGUUGUUCUUCACUCCAUGUUCCUUGAUUGAUGUCCCUGUAUUUGUCUCCAUCAAGCUGGUAGAGCAUGUUUUUGAAAACCUUGACGACAUCAGGAUUAUGAGACACAUAAACAAAUGCCCCACAGCCAAAUUGCCCUUUAAUCUUCUCAUACACAAGAUUAGCAAGAGUAGUCUUGCCUAACCCUCCAAAGCCAGCAAUAGACAGUACAACUGGCUGCUUGGAUGCCUCCUUGUCGCCCUCCAUGAGCCUUCUCACAAGGUCACUGCUCUUCUCUUCGGCGCCAACAAGUUCUGUCGCCUUUCUGUAAAGAGCCGACAGCCGCAGGUUGUCGAUGCUUCUGCCAACAGGCUUGGAAGGAACCAAAUCAACCUUGUACCUGUCACGCCGUUCACUCACAUCCUUUAUGCGGCUCCUGAUCUCCUUGAUGUCUAUGCCGAUGCUGUGUUGAAUCCUGCCCCUUGUCAGCAGGUGGAGGCUUCUAUCAAUGAAUCCCUUGAAACUAUGUGGCUUGCCAUCGCCAACUCGCACCAUGAAUCUGUCGAUGCUGUCCUCGAGGUCGUAGGACAGCUCUCUCACCUCCCUUGUCCAGAGCUUGACUUGGAUGUCAGGUGGGUGGUCGAUGGGUGCCUCGGAGACCUUGAUGAGAGCAGCCUCCAUGCUCUUGAGCUCAGCCUCCAGGAACAUGAUCUCACCCCUCACCUUCUUCUGCAGGUUAUACUCCUCCUUGAUCAGGUUGGCCAGCUUGGGCAAGAGAGUGCCCAUCGCCCCGGUGACUAUCUCCGCCAUGGUUGCUCAGUCAGAGCUCUUACCGACCAGCACCACUAGUUGUAAAGUAUUUUGUUAAUGAAGAAAGGUUUAUCUAUACAUUAUUCUUUGUUUGGUUGGCUCAAAGCUUUUACUGUUGAUUCAUGAUGAUAUGAGCAGGUGGCUAGCGAUAAAAUUCUAUAAUGGAUGGAGACAGAAUCCGACCAGGGAUAGUGGUCUCUCGUGGAAAGCUUCGAAUGUCACAUCAGUUGGACUUUAUCUAUAUACACCAGCAAGACUAGCUGUAAAGUAUUUCGUUAAUCAAGAAAGGUUUAUCUAAAUACAGUUUUACUUUACAUUAGCAUAUCUAGAAGACUGGAGCAAGGAUGUUGAAGUUGCACAUUUUUUUUAGAUUUGCGUGUUUUUAUUUACCCGAAGUUUUAUCGUAUGCCCGAUUUGAUGAGGCAAUGAGUGCAAAAUAAAGCAAACGACUUUGACUUAGG